GGCCGGCUGGCGAAAUGGCAUCGCGUCUGACUACGAUGACACGCUACGUAAUCAGGAGAUUUCAGGUUCGACCUCUGAGUCGGUCA
Mycena vitilis is the source of this 86-nucleotide non-coding RNA. NCBI's taxonomy places the organism in Eukaryota, Fungi, Basidiomycota, Agaricomycetes, Agaricales, Mycenaceae. The record is from the annotation of a GenBank genome assembly.